AGAAUCAACGCUGGCGGCGUGCCUAACACAUGCAAGUCGAGCGCGAAAGGGGAGCAAUCCCCCAAGUAGAGCGGCGAACGGGUGAGUAACGCGUGGGUAAUCUACCUUCGAGUGGGGAAUAACAGCGGGAAACUGCUGCUAAUACCGCAUGACAUCGUCGAUCCUUCGGGACUGACGAUCAAAGCCGGGGACCGCAAGGCCUGGCGCUUGAAGACGAGCCCGCGUCCGAUUAGCUAGUUGGCGGGUAAUGGCCCACAAGGCUUCGAU
RNAcentral lists this ribosomal RNA (267 nucleotides) under uncultured soil bacterium. Its description in RNAcentral is "partial 16S ribosomal RNA". It matches the Rfam family "Bacterial small subunit ribosomal RNA", at positions 26 to 280 of the family's 1533-position model. The record is from RNAcentral.